Molecule: long non-coding RNA, 1333 nt
Filed under: Parus major (Great Tit)
Lineage: Eukaryota; Metazoa; Chordata; Aves; Passeriformes; Paridae
Description: lncRNA (ENSPMJG00000002075.1)
Source: RNAcentral
AAGGGACAGGUGACACAGGGGACAGGGGGACAGGGGACAGGGGACACGGGGACAGGUGACACAGGGGACACGGGGACAGGGACACAGGUCAGCUGUUUCUCACCUGAUGUUCCUCACCUGUCCAGGUGUGUUCCUCACCUCCCCCAGCUGUGUGUCUCACCUGUCCAGGUGUUCCUCACCUCCCCCAGCUGUGUGUCUCACCUGUCCAGGUGUUUCUCACCUCCCCCAGCUGUUCCUCACCUGUCCAGGUGUAUUUCUCACCCACCCCAGGUGUGUUUCUCACCUGUCCAGGUGUAUUUUUCACCUCCCCCGGGUGUGUUUCUCCCCUGUCCAGGUGUGUUCCUCACCCACCCCAGAUGUUCCUCACCUGUCCAGGUGUUUCUCACCCACCCCAGGUGUUCCUCACCAGUCCAGGUGUGUUUCCCACCCACCCCAGGUGUAUUAUUUCAUCUCCCCCAGAUGUUCCUCACCUCCCCCAGCUGUUUCCCACCCACUCCAGAUGUUUCUCACCUGUCCAGGUGUAUUUUUCACCUCCCCCAGGUGUUCCUCCCCUGUCCAGAUGUUCCUCACCUCCCCCAGAUGUUCCUCCCCUGUCCAGGUGUAUUUCUCACCUGUCCAGGUGUAUUUCUCACCCACCCCAGAUGUUCCUCACCUGUCCAGGUGUAUUCCUCACCUCCCCCAGACGUUCCUCACCUGUCCAGGUGUUUCUCACCUCCCCCAGACGUUCCUCACCUGUCCAGAUGUUCCUCACCUCCUCCAGGUGUUCCUCACCUGUCCAGGUGUUCCUCACCUGUCCAGGUGUUCCUCACCCACCCCAGAUGUUCCUCACCUGUCCAGAUGUUCCUCACCCACCCCAGGUGUGUUCCUCCCCUGUCCAGGUGUAUUUCUCACCUGUCCAGGUGUAUUUUUCACCUCCCCUAGGUGUUCCUCACCUGUCCAGGUGUUCCUCACCUCCCCCAGAUGUUUCUCACCUGUCCAGCUGUUCCUCACCUGCAGCUGGAAGGCCAGCUCGGCCGUGGCCCGGCAGGCACUGCACACCUGUCCAGAUGUUUCUCACCCACCCCAGACGUUCCUCACCUGUCCAGAUGUUCCUCACCUGUCCAGGUGUGUUUCUCACCCACCCCAGGUGUGUUCCUCCCCUGUCCAGGUGUAUUUCUCACCUCCCCCAGAUGUUCCUCACCUGUCCAGGUGUUUCUCACCUCCCCCAGGUGUUCCUCACCUGUCCAGAUGUUCCUCACCUCCCCCAGAUGUUCCUCACCUGUCCAGCUGUUCCUCACCUGCAGCUGGAAGGCCAGCUCGGCCGUGGCCCGGCAGGCACUGCACACCUGUCCAG